Molecule: ribosomal RNA, 253 nt
Filed under: uncultured bacterium
Lineage: Bacteria
Description: partial 16S ribosomal RNA
Rfam family: Bacterial small subunit ribosomal RNA
Source: RNAcentral
UACGUAGGGGGCAAGCGUUGUCCGGAAUUAUUGGGCGUAAAGCGCGCGCAGGCGGUUUAUUAAGUCUGAUGUGAAAGCCCACGGCUCAACCGUGGAGGGCCAUUGGAAACUGGUAGACUUGAGUGCAGGAGAGGAGAGCGGAAUUCCUGGUGUAGCGGUGAAAUGCGUAGAUAUCAGGAGGAACACCCGUGGCGAAGGCGGCUCUCUGGCCUGUAACUGACGCUGAGGAGCGAAAGCGUGGGGAGCGAACAGG